GCGGAUUUAGCUCAGUUGGGAGAGCGCCAGACUGAAGAAUCUGGAGGUCCUGUGUUCGAUCCACAGAAUUCGCA
This 74-nucleotide transfer RNA is filed under the name Saccharomyces cerevisiae Kyokai no. 7. RNAcentral's name for it is "tRNA-Phe". It matches the Rfam family "tRNA". Rfam says of the family: Transfer RNA (tRNA) molecules are approximately 80 nucleotides in length. Their secondary structure includes four short double-helical elements and three loops (D, anti-codon, and T loops). Further hydrogen bonds mediate the characteristic L-shaped molecular structure. tRNAs have two regions of fundamental functional importance: the anti-codon, which is responsible for specific mRNA codon recognition, and the 3' end, to which the tRNAs corresponding amino acid is attached (by aminoacyl-tRNA synthetases). tRNAs cope with the degeneracy of the genetic code in two manners: having more than one tRNA (with a specific anti-codon) for a particular amino acid; and 'wobble' base-pairing, i.e. permitting non-standard base-pairing at the 3rd anti-codon position. RNAcentral also lists the same sequence under 1 other name. Lineage: Eukaryota; Fungi; Ascomycota; Saccharomycetes; Saccharomycetales; Saccharomycetaceae. The record is from RNAcentral.